AGUGAACGCUGGCGGUAGGCCUAACACAUGCAAGUCGAACGGCAGCACAGUAAGAGCUUGCUCUUACGGGUGGCGAGUGGCGGACGGGUGAGGAAUACAUCGGAAUCUACUUUUUCGUGGGGGAUAACGUAGGGAAACUUACGCUAAUACCGCAUACGACCUACGGGUGAAAACAGGGGAUCUUCGGACCUUGCGCGAUUGAAUGAGCCGAUGUCGGAUUAGCUAGUUGGCGGGGUAAAGGCCCACCAAGGCGACGAUCCGUAGCUGGUCUGAGAGGAUGAUCAGCCAAACUGGAACUGAGACACGGUCCAGACUCCUACGGGAGGCAGCAGUGGGGAAUAUUGGACAAUGGGCGCAAGCCUGAUCCAGCCAUACCGCGUGGGUGAAGAAGGCCUUCGGGUUGUAAAGCCCUUUUGUUGGGAAAGAAAAGCAGCAGGUUAAUACCCCGCUGUUCUGACGGUACCCAAAGAAUAAGCACCGGCUAACUUCGU
Molecule: ribosomal RNA, 491 nt
Filed under: uncultured bacterium
Lineage: Bacteria
Description: partial 16S ribosomal RNA
Rfam family: Bacterial small subunit ribosomal RNA
Source: RNAcentral